This 1124-nucleotide long non-coding RNA is filed under the name Fragaria vesca (wild strawberry). RNAcentral describes it as "long non-coding RNA (FVES_LNC001174)". Lineage: Eukaryota; Viridiplantae; Streptophyta; Magnoliopsida; Rosales; Rosaceae. The record is from RNAcentral.
UUAAAAGCUUGUUAUACAAGAAGCCUGCAAUUCAUACAACUCAAGAAAAAAAAAAUGAAAAUAAAAAACCUUCAAGGAAAACUAACAGUCUAACACAAAUCAUGAAGCCAGCACGUACAUUUUGAUCCAGUUUCUUCUUGGAUGCACUGCAAAACACCAUUGACAUGAAACUGUAUCGAUUUCAUCCCCAUCUAAGUGAACUGACCAUAUUUAUAUUGACAGAGCCGGCCGUGAAGUAUUCGCCUUCUCCGGUCAUGGCUCCCCGAUCGGAUUGCUAACUGUUGAGGAAAGCAAAGAUGAGAAAGAAGAAGAAGAAGAAAUGAGCAAUCACCAUGCUUGAGAGCCCUGAAGGAGCACAAAGCUGUCAAAGAAACUAGGACAGAACUGCCUAGCUAUAUAUGUGGUGUAAAUGUGUAAUAAUAUAUGGUUGACACAGAGAGAAGCAACACUAACAUAAAUUCAAAUCAAGCUCGACUGAGCAACCCUACUAGAUUUCAAAAUUUGAAAAUGCCAGAUCUGAUGCUUGAUGGGUUGCACUGGCUGUUCAUGGUUUCAAGGUAUAUAUUUUAAACCGUUGCAGCAUCUUCAAUUAUUUGCAGCCAACUGGCUAAAGGUGUGGUUGCACAUGAUGUGAUGCUAACGUUUUGCAUCAAGUCCAAAUGAAGAAGCGUACAGCACUACCUAACAGGCUUCCCGUACCCUAAAAUAUCUAUGAUAAUAAUGAUAUUAUAACAUCCAAUUACGAGAAGAAGAGGGUUAUAUUUUAAUUUUUUUUGAAUACGACUCGCAGAGAUAUUAUGUGUUUGGUAGUAUAAAUUUACUUUGGAGUUGCUUGUGAAAAUGACAAAAACGUUUUGAUACGAUCAUAAAUAUCUGUUUUGCGUAGUAUUUUUUCGCUAAAACAAAUUUAGAGAGAGAAAUGACAUCUUAUACCUUCACGUCAAGACCUAACGCAAGAUUUAUGAUAAAAACAUCAAAUUUAAAUUAAGACUCAACUCGCUUAACCACAAGUACACGCACACUAACUGAAACAACUCAUUUUGGUAUAAACUUUAUGUGCUUAUCAAAUCUAGUUUAUUUGGCAUUUUGUUGUAGCUAUUUUUGUUAUCAUUAAUAGUGUCUAU